RNAcentral lists this ribosomal RNA (606 nucleotides) under uncultured Actinomycetes bacterium. Its description in RNAcentral is "bacterial SSU rRNA". It matches the Rfam family "Bacterial small subunit ribosomal RNA", at positions 815 to 1420 of the family's 1533-position model. Lineage: Bacteria; Bacillati; Actinomycetota; Actinomycetes. The record is from RNAcentral.
GCUAGUUGUGGGCCACAUUCCACGUGGUCCGUGACGAAGUUAACACAUUAAGCACCCCGCCUGGGGAGUACGGUCGCAAGACUAAAACUCAAAGGAAUUGACGGGGGCCCGCACAAGCGGCGGAGCAUGCGGAUUAAUUCGAUGCAACGCGAAGAACCUUACCAAGGCUUGACAUAUAGAGGAAACGUGCAGAAAUGUACGCCCCGCAAGGUCUCUAUACAGGUGGUGCAUGGUUGUCGUCAGCUCGUGUCGUGAGAUGUUGGGUUAAGUCCCGCAACGAGCGCAACCCUCGUCCUAUGUUGCCAGCACGUAAUGGUGGGAACUCAUGGGAGACUGCCGGGGUCAACUCGGAGGAAGGUGGGGAUGACGUCAAAUCAUCAUGCCCCUUAUGUCUUGGGCUUCACGCAUGCUACAAUGGCCAGUACAAAGGGCUGCAAUACCGUAAGGUGGAGCGAAUCCCAAAAAGCUGGUCUCAGUUCGGAUUGAGGUCUGCAGCUCGACCUCAUGAAGUCGGAGUCGCUAGUAAUCGCAGAUCAGCAACGCUGCGGUGAAUACGUUCCCGGGCCUUGUACACACCGCCCGUCAAGUCACGAAAGUCGGUAACAC